ACUGCGUAUCGAUUGGACCCGGAAGUGUCAAUGUCACCGUCUCCAAUGUGCAAUGUGGCCCUGGCCAUGGAAUCAGGUAUAACAUAAUAAUUUACACGCAACCAAUAUCAACCAUUUCCAGAAACUGGAAAAUAAAAAUGUGCAAAUGUGACAGCAUAGGGAGCCUUGGGAAGUACCCUGAUGAAGAGGAUGUAAUAGGAAUCACUGUUUCGAACUGCACAAUCAAUGGUACUCAGAACGGGAUUCGAGUCAAGACAUGGCCAGGUUCGCCUGCGGGGAGUGCUUCGGGGAUAAUCUUCCAGAACAUUGUGAUGAUAAAUGUCUCUAACCCUGUGAUGAUCGAUCAGGAAUAUUGCCCGUCAAGAACCUGCAACAUUACCAAGGUGAAAAGAAAAUGAUGCCAAAAAUUCUUUUUAUUUCUAUUUGGUAAGCUUUUGUUUUACUUUGAGGCAUUUCGUCGAACAGCCUUCGCUCGUGAAGCUGCGGGACAUAGAUGUGAGGAACGUGACGGGAACGUAUAACAGUGAGGCACCGAUGCCGCCGGUGAGUCUGCUCUGCAGUAGCCA
This 566-nucleotide long non-coding RNA is filed under the name Linum usitatissimum (flax). RNAcentral describes it as "long non-coding RNA (LUSI_LNC003277)". Lineage: Eukaryota; Viridiplantae; Streptophyta; Magnoliopsida; Malpighiales; Linaceae. The record is from RNAcentral.